Molecule: ribosomal RNA, 456 nt
Filed under: uncultured bacterium
Lineage: Bacteria
Description: bacterial SSU rRNA
Rfam family: Bacterial small subunit ribosomal RNA
Source: RNAcentral
UACGGGAGGCAGCAGGUGGGAAUAUUGCACAAUGGGCGCAAGCCUGAUGCAGCCAUGCCGCGUGUAUGAAAAGGCCUUCGGGUUGUAAAGUACUUUCAGUCGUGAGGAAGGUGUUAAGGUUAAUAACCUUAGCAAUUGACGUUAGCGACAGAAGAAGCACCGGCUAACUCCGUGCCAGCAGCCGCGGUAAUACGGAGGGUGCGAGCGUUAAUCGGAAUUACUGGGCGUAAAGGGCACGCAGGCGGUUAAUUAAGUUGGAUGUGAAAUCCCCGGGCUUAACCUGGGAAUGGCAUUCAAGACUGGUUAGCUAGAGUCUUGUAGAGGGGGUAGAAUUCCAUGUGUAGCGGUGAAAUGCGUAGAGAUGUGGAGGAAAUACCGGUGGCGAAAGGCGGCCCCUGGACAAAAGACUGACGCUCAUGUGCGAAAGCGUGGGGAGCAAAACAGGGAUUAGAUACC